UGGGGAAUCUUGGACAAUGGGGGCAACCCUGAUCCAGCGAUGCCGCGUGAGUGAAGAAGGCCCUCGGGUCGUAAAGCUCUUUAGGCUGGGAAGAAGGUUGGUGGAGGAAAUGCCAUCAAUUUGACGGUACCAGCAGAAUAAGCACCGGCAAACUCUGUGCCAGCAGCCGCGGUAAUACAGAGGGUGCGAGCGUUAAUCGGAGUAACUGGGCGUAAAGGGCGCGUAGGCGGUUUAGUGAGUGUGGUGUGAAAGCCCCGGGCUUAACCUGGGAAGUGCAUCGCAAACGACUAGACUAGAGUAGAUGAGAGGGUGAUGGAAUUUCCGGUGUAGCGGUGAAAUGCGUAGAGAUCGGAAGGAACGUCGAUGGCGAAGGCAGUCACCUGGCAUCAUACUGACGCUGAGGCGCGAAAGCGUGGGUAGCAAACAGGAUUAGAUACCCGCGUAGUCC
Molecule: ribosomal RNA, 448 nt
Filed under: uncultured bacterium
Lineage: Bacteria
Description: bacterial SSU rRNA
Rfam family: Bacterial small subunit ribosomal RNA
Source: RNAcentral